Molecule: ribosomal RNA, 468 nt
Filed under: uncultured bacterium
Lineage: Bacteria
Description: partial 16S ribosomal RNA
Rfam family: Bacterial small subunit ribosomal RNA
Source: RNAcentral
GACGAACGCUGGCGGCGUGCUUAACACAUGCAAGUCGAACGGAAAGGCCCUGCUUUUGUGGGGUGCUCGAGUGGCGAACGGGUGAGUAACACGUGAGUAACCUGCCCUUGACUUUGGGAUAACUUCAGGAAACUGGGGCUAAUACCGGAUAGGAGCUCCUGCUGCAUGGUGGGGGUUGGAAAGUUUCGGCGGUUGGGGAUGGACUCGCGGCUUAUCAGCUUGUUGGUGGGGUAGUGGCUUACCAAGGCUUUGACGGGUAGCCGGCCUGAGAGGGUGACCGGCCACAUUGGGACUGAGAUACGGCCCAGACUCCUACGGGAGGCAGCGGUGGGAAAUAUUGCACAAUGGGCGGAGGCCUGUUGCAGCAACGCCGCGUGCGGGAUGACGGCCUUCGGGUUGUAAACCGCUUUCGCCUGGGACGAAGCGUGAGUGACGGUAAUGGGUUAAGAAGCACCGGCUAACUACGUG